GAUGAACGCUGGCGGCAUGCCUAAUACAUGCAAGUCGAGCGAACAGACGAGGAGCUUGCUCCUCUGACGUUAGCGGCGGACGGGUGAGUAACACGUGGAUAACCUACCUAUAAGACUGGGAUAACUUCGGGAAACCGGAGCUAAUACCGGAUAAUAUAUUGAACCGCAUGGUUCAAUAGUGAAAGACGGUUUUGCUGUCACUUAUAGAUGGAUCCGCGCCGCAUUAGCUAGUUGGUAAGGUAACGGCUUACCAAGGCGACGAUGCGUAGCCGACCUGAGAGGGUGAGCGGCCACACUGGAACUGACACCCGUCCCAGACUCCGACGGGAGGCACAAGGGGGGAAUCUUCGGCAAGGGGAGAAGGCCGGACGGAGCAGCCCCGCGGGAGGAAGGAAGGUUUUCGGAUCGAAAACCUCUGUUAUGGGGAAAAAAAAAAGGGUUAAGAAACUACGCACGUUUUGACGGUACCUAAUAAGAAAGCCACGGCAAACCACGUC
This 497-nucleotide ribosomal RNA is filed under the name uncultured bacterium. RNAcentral's name for it is "partial 16S ribosomal RNA". It matches the Rfam family "Bacterial small subunit ribosomal RNA", at positions 28 to 507 of the family's 1533-position model. The record is from RNAcentral.